GUAGGGAAUAUUGCACAAUGGGGGAAACCCUGAUGCAGCGACGCCGCGUGAGUGAUGAAGGCCUUCGGGUCGUAAAGCUCUGUCGUAUGGGACUAACACAAUGAAGGUACCAUGCAAGAAAGGAUCGGCUAACUUCGUGCCAGCAGCCGCGGUAAGACGAGGGAUCCUAGCGUUGUUCGGAAUCAUUGGGCGUAAAGCGGGUGUAGGCGGAUUUAUAAGUCAGGUGUGAAAUCCCAGGGCUCAACCCUGGAAGUGCACUUGAUACUGUAAAUCUUGAGUGUGGUAGAGGUUACUGGAAUUGUUGGUGUAGUGGUGAAAUACGUAGAUAUCAACAGGAAUACCGGAGGCGAAGGCGAGUAACUGGGCCAACACUGACGCUGAGACCCGAAAGCGUGGGGAUCAAACAGGAUUAGAAACCCCGGUAGUC
This 427-nucleotide ribosomal RNA is filed under the name uncultured bacterium. Its description in RNAcentral is "partial 16S ribosomal RNA". It matches the Rfam family "Bacterial small subunit ribosomal RNA", at positions 354 to 795 of the family's 1533-position model. The record is from RNAcentral.